Molecule: transfer RNA, 70 nt
Filed under: Bombus kashmirensis
Lineage: Eukaryota; Metazoa; Arthropoda; Insecta; Hymenoptera; Apidae
Description: tRNA-Lys
Source: RNAcentral
CAUUAGAUAUCUUAAUUAAAGAAAUGAUCUUUUAAAUCAUUAAUAGUAAUUUUAAAUUUACUUCUAAUGA